CUCUCUCCCUCUCUAUCUCUUAUAAUGGCUCUCUCAAAAUUUCUAGGGUUCAUUCUCCUCGCCGCUUUUUUCGUUUCGUUCACGGUUGCUCAAUCUCCUGCACCAGCUCCAUCUAGCGGAGGAAGGCGGAUCUCUCCGGCGCACUCACCUAAGAAGGCGAUGUCUCCUGCACCAGCUGUUUCUCCUACUCCUCAAACCGCAUUGACUCCAGAAUCUUCCUCCUCUCCUCCAUCGCCACCCUCCGCAGAUUCUCCUUCAGAUUUGCCGGCUUUUUCUCCCUCUUCCAUCUCCAACUCGCCUGCUCAAGCUCCCGCUCCCGUAAGCGGCACCGUUUCUAACAGCUACGCGGUCUUUGGAUCCGUCGCUUUUAUGUUAACCGCUGCCGUUUUGGCUAUGUAGGUUCUUUGCAUGAAUUUUUAGAAUAACUAGGUAUUUAUUUAUUUAAAAUAUUUGCAGAGAGUGGCGAUUAUUUAUUUUUCCUUUUUAUUAUUUCGGAUUACUAUUUGUUUCUCAUUUUUUUGAUCUCACAUGAGUCACAUACAUAUUAAUAUAUGAGUUUACCAGAUAUUAUUAUUGCCAUAUUUAUUUACAGUUUUGGUCUAAUAAUUUCUAAAAUGUUUAACAACAAUAUAAUGCAAAAAAGAUACAAAAUCAUGAGCUGCAAAACGACAAUACAAAAGUUGUAUCCAUACAAUCAAAAUGUUAAGUGAAAUUCAAGAUUAAUAUGGGAACAUGCUUUAAUUGAUUGUCAAAAUGAUUUUGCGUAUAUUUACAUUCCCUUUUUAUAAUUUAACUACUGCUUAGCAUAUUAGCCCAAUGAAAAAAUAUAGAUAUCCCUACUGGUAAGCAAAUAAGCCCAAAAGAAGAUUGAGACUAGAGAGAGUAACAACAAUGUGAUUGCAAUAUAUCCAUCGUAACAUGAGCCUUAAGGCCUAAUAGUAGCACAGUGGAUGUUAUAAUUGUAAUGAAUGAACCUCAGGGCCUUAAUAGUAGCCCAAUAUAACCUUCUGAAUCACUAAGAAGUUUAGAGCAUACAUCUUUCCUCUGCUUUAGACCUCUUGUUGGGGCAUGUCAAAUUGAGAAAGUACUUACUGACUUUCUGAGCCCAAACAAAACUGAAAGGGAAGUGACUUGAGGUGGAUCCUGACCGUUAGAUACUGUCUUCCCUUUUGCAAAAAGAGAGCCGUCAGAUGAGUAGAUCCGGUCCCGACAAUUUUACACGAGGCUUUUAACAUAUGAAGGCGAUGUGGCACCUAUCACCACCACCACCAUCAUCAAUAAUGCGAUUUUUUAUAUGUAAGCCAAUAUUAUGUGUAUGUGGUUGAUAAUGAUAUAUUGAUUUGUGCCUAAUAAGAUCAAAUUAUUACGGUUGUGUAUAUAAGAUAUUAGUCAUAGAAAAAAAACAUAUUGACCCAUAUGUUACAAACCCUCGUUACAAUCCAAUCAAAUAUGUGGCUAUUAUAUAUUUAUGGCCACUCCAUACGUGGAGGUAAGAGUUAAAAGAUUGGUUCUUGAAAACGACCUGUUUCUUUAGUACUACAAUGUGAUUGAUACACUUUAAAACCAAAAUAUAAUUAACGAAAUUAGUUGUAUAACAAACGAGUUUUAAUCAAUCUAAUCUAUAAGUAUUAAAAACAUAUAGUCUCGAGCCUUCGACCAAAACAAUUUGAUUGAAACUCAUCGAUAUAUGUAUAUUAAGUGAAGAUUGGAACUGAUCAAUAACCACCAGUGUGUAUGAAUGUUGACAUAUAUAAUAUUCUUCUGGACCAUUUCUUCUUUCUCUAUCUCCAUUUAUGUAAGAAUGAACAACCUUUGUUUUUAAUGCUUCCAACUUUUUCGUCCAUUUUAUUUUUCAUUAACCAACUACCACUUCAAUAAUAUAUUAGUAAAGUGUUCCCAAACCUUUGACGUCCGCUUCUUUUCUGACCUUGAGCCACUGCAGUUUUUGGUUUUCUUUCGUUUUCCUUUGUUACGAGAGAGUGGAGUCUCAAUUUCAUCUUCUGAUAUAUCUACUGGUGGAUCAUCACCACAAGACGCCAUCUGCAUUACAGACAAAACGAAAAUCAAACUCGGAUUAUGUAACAACAACAACGACAUGUUCUAAUAAUAAACAGAAGUUACAGAACACAAGACUACAAGAGUCAAGAGAAAUAAACAUCGAGUUUAAUCAAACAUUGAGGUUUAAUCAAACAUUGAAGAUCAAGAUCAGAGGAACAGAAACAGAAGAGAUAAAUACAAUAUCAUCCGCUAUAAUCAGAGGAACAAGAAUCAAGCUUGGGUUUAAUCAACAAGAAUCGAUACCAUAAACAAGAACCAAACUCGGAUUAAAACAAAAGCCAUAAACAAAAUCGAGACUUACCCUGCUUUGAUUUGUAGACAAAGCUGUCGCUGAUGAAGAAGUGGGUAGGGUUAGGGGGUUUCGAAGGAGAACUUGAUUAUGAUGAGAUUCCAGUUUGAUAAUGUUUGUUGAUUUCGGAUUUAUAUGUUGAUAGAUCAAUAAAGUAGCGACUCUUCGAUUCAAUUUUUUUUUGGAGGAGUGGAACGAUGUAUAGGAGGAGGCGUUGCUGCAUCGGGGAAGCCGGGAAGAGAAGAGAUAGAUGUAGGCUGGUUUAGAUAGAUAGAUGUAGGCUGGUUUAGGCUUGGUUUAGGGAAUUGAUUCGGGUCUAAAAUUACCCUAUCGGAUAUAGGGUACGGUUCGGGUCGGGUACUCUACCCGCGGGUCCGUAGUCUCAAGACCCAAUAGGGUAAUAUGGUGCCACCCGAACCCGACCCGAACCGGGUUUUUUGGGUCGGUUCCGGUCCGGGUUUUCGGGUCCGGGUAAAAUGCCCAGGCCUAGUUUUGACAUUAAAAUGGUGCUAGUGGUUGGAGAUGCCCUUAUAUUACUGGGUUUGCAGUUAAAUGAAUGUUUGUUUAACAAAUGUUAGUUCUUGCAAAAUUUAAUUUAAUAAUGCAACAAAUGUCAAUCCCCAAGAAAAUUCAAAAGAAAUAUUGUACUCUUAUUCAAUAGAUACAACCAAAAAGAUCUGUGUAUGCACAGAUUACAUACAAAAUUUAUUGUAAAUCUUACACAUAUCAAAUUAUGACAUUAAGAUAUUUAAGAAGGACCAGAAGAAAAGGGAAAGAAACAGAGUGUCAUAGACGUUUUAAUUAUGGAAGAAAAAUAUAACAACGGUCAUGUUUUCCUUUUCCAUCACGCGUUAAUAAAACCAACACAUGUACGCUCGUGAUUCAAUAAUCACAUCUGUCAAUGUCAUAGAGCCGUUAGCGCGCGCCGUAGUCGAGGGGGAUGAAGCCAUACGCGUUUUCUUUUUUUUUUUACUUUCCCAUUAGGCUUGUCCCCACCUGUUUAACUUUUAUGCUGUUGAAUGAAAUCUAAGCCGUUGGAUUAAAGUCGGUCUUCAAUGUUACAUAUCAACGGUGCAGAUUCACCAUACAACUCAAAACAGUGGACCCAACUUCGUCUCUAUAUAAAGACUCUUUUCCUAGCUUCGUAAACAUCAAAAGCAAUUAAGCAAACACUCGUAAAAAAAAAAAAAGCAUACGAAAACAGCAAAGUUCGAAUCUCUCUCCCUCUCUAUCUCUUAUAAUGGCUCUCUCAAAAUUUCUAGGGUUCAUUCUCCUCGCCGCUUUUUUCGUUUCGUUCACGGUUGCUCAAUCUCCUGCACCAGCUCCAUCUAGCGGAGGAAGGCGGAUCUCUCCGGCGCACUCACCUAAGAAGGCGAUGUCUCCUGCACCAGCUGUUUCUCCUACUCCUCAAACCGCAUUGACUCCAGAAUCUUCCUCCUCUCCUCCAUCGCCACCCUCCGCAGAUUCUCCUUCAGAUUUGCCGGCUUUUUCUCCCUCUUCCAUCUCCAACUCGCCUGCUCAAGCUCCCGCUCCCGUAAGCGGCACCGUUUCUAACAGCUACGCGGUCUUUGGAUCCGUCGCUUUUAUGUUAACCGCUGCCGUUUUGGCUAUGUAGGUUCUUUGCAUGAAUUUUUAGAAUAACUAGGUAUUUAUUUAUUUAAAAUAUUUGCAGAGAGUGGCGAUUAUUUAUUUUUCCUUUUUAUUAUUUCGGAUUACUAUUUGUUUCUCAUUUUUUUGAUCUCACAUGAGUCACAUACAUAUUAAUAUAUGAGUUUACCAGAUAUUAUUAUUGCCAUAUUUAUUUACAGUUUUGGUCUAAUAAUUUCUAAAAUGUUUAACAACAAUAUAAUGCAAAAAAGAUACAAAAUCAUGAGCUGCAAAACGACAAUACAAAAGUUGUAUCCAUACAAUCAAAAUGUUAAGUGAAAUUCAAGAUUAAUAUGGGAACAUGCUUUAAUUGAUUGUCAAAAUGAUUUUGCGUAUAUUUACAUUCCCUUUUUAUAAUUUAACUACUGCUUAGCAUAUUAGCCCAAUGAAAAAAUAUAGAUAUCCCUACUGGUAAGCAAAUAAGCCCAAAAGAAGAUUGAGACUAGAGAGAGUAACAACAAUGUGAUUGCAAUAUAUCCAUCGUAACAUGAGCCUUAAGGCCUAAUAGUAGCACAGUGGAUGUUAUAAUUGUAAUGAAUGAACCUCAGGGCCUUAAUAGUAGCCCAAUAUAACCUUCUGAAUCACUAAGAAGUUUAGAGCAUACAUCUUUCCUCUGCUUUAGACCUCUUGUUGGGGCAUGUCAAAUUGAGAAAGUACUUACUGACUUUCUGAGCCCAAACAAAACUGAAAGGGAAGUGACUUGAGGUGGAUCCUGACCGUUAGAUACUGUCUUCCCUUUUGCAAAAAGAGAGCCGUCAGAUGAGUAGAUCCGGUCCCGACAAUUUUACACGAGGCUUUUAACAUAUGAAGGCGAUGUGGCACCUAUCACCACCACCACCAUCAUCAAUAAUGCGAUUUUUUAUAUGUAAGCCAAUAUUAUGUGUAUGUGGUUGAUAAUGAUAUAUUGAUUUGUGCCUAAUAAGAUCAAAUUAUUACGGUUGUGUAUAUAAGAUAUUAGUCAUAGAAAAAAAACAUAUUGACCCAUAUGUUACAAACCAUUGACUCCAGAAUCUUCCUCCUCUCCUCCAUCGCCACCCUCCGCAGAUUCUCCUUCAGAUUUGCCGGCUUUUUCUCCCUCUUCCAUCUCCAACUCGCCUGCUCAAGCUCCC
This 5103-nucleotide long non-coding RNA is filed under the name Brassica napus (rape). Its description in RNAcentral is "long non-coding RNA (BNAP_LNC005321)". Lineage: Eukaryota; Viridiplantae; Streptophyta; Magnoliopsida; Brassicales; Brassicaceae. The record is from RNAcentral.